RNAcentral lists this ribosomal RNA (482 nucleotides) under uncultured Cryomorphaceae bacterium. Its description in RNAcentral is "bacterial SSU rRNA". It matches the Rfam family "Bacterial small subunit ribosomal RNA", at positions 28 to 505 of the family's 1533-position model. The record is from RNAcentral. Lineage: Bacteria; Pseudomonadati; Bacteroidota; Flavobacteriia; Flavobacteriales; Cryomorphaceae.
GAUGAACGCUAGCGGUAGGCCUAACACAUGCAAGUCGAACGGUAACAUAAGAGCUUGCUCUUGAUGACGAGUGGCGGACGGGUGCGUAACACGUAUGCAACAUACCUUCUACAGGGGGAUAGCCCAGAGAAAUUUGGAUUAAUACCCCAUAAUAUCACAGAUUCGCAUGUUUCUGUGAUUAAAACUCCGGUGGUAGAAGAUUGGCAUGCGGCCCAUUAGUUUGUUGGUGAGGUAACGGCUCACCAAGACUACGAUGGGUAGGGGGUCUGAGAGGAUGAUCCCCCACACUGGUACUGAGACACGGACCAGACUCCUACGGGAGGCAGCAGUGAGGAAUAUUGGUCAAUGGACGAAAGUCUGAACCAGCCAUACCGCGUGCAGGAAGACAGCCCUACGGGUCGUAAACUGCUUUUGUUUGCCAAGAAACCUUCCCACGUGUGGGGAGCUGACGGUAGCAUUCGAAUAAGGACCGGCUAACUCCG